This is a non-coding RNA of Aegilops tauschii subsp. strangulata, 2554 nucleotides long. NCBI's taxonomy places the organism in Eukaryota, Viridiplantae, Streptophyta, Magnoliopsida, Poales, Poaceae. The record is from RefSeq and is a predicted model, not a curated record.
ACUUCACCUUCCCGUAUUUUCUUCGAUCUCAUCUCCCUAGUCUCCUUAGAGAUUAAAAAAAUUCUCCCCUGACACGCCGCCGCACACAUCUCCCCUGUAUCCAUGCUCCGCCGUCCGAAUCCGGCUGCCGCGCCCGUCUCGCUCGCCGUGGCCGAUGAUCGCGUCGCCCGGGAUCGCGUCCCUCCUCAAACGGCGGCGAUGAUGCAGAGCGCCGCCCAGCUCUUGACCGACGGACUCGCCGGGUUCCCGCUCCUUGGGGCCAGCCCCUCCCCCAUGCCGGAUCGCGCAUCGGCUUGGAGGCCCCUCGGGGCUGCCGCCGGUGCGGGAGUCUUGCGUGGCCGUUCGGGCUUGGGGACGGAGCGGCAGGGCCCGUGGUGCGUUCUUGUCGAGGGCUUGCUCGGGCUGGCCGGGAUCUGAGCCGCCGUCAAUGGGUUUCUCGCAGCUUGGCUGCCUGCUUCGGAUUUGGUACUAUCCCCAUCUCUCUCUCCCUCUCCCUCGGUGUGGACGCGCGCACCUAAACCGAAUCAGGCGAGCGCAAGCUACCGGAUCACUGAACCAUCGUCCCGGUGGCCACCGUGCCAGUUCCACACCAGUACUGCGACGCCAACCACCGCCACUCCAUUGGCUUGGAUUUGGCUGUGGCGUGGGCUGGAAUCGUAUGGUGUUGUCUGAUGCGUGUUCCGCACUGGAAGGUUUGGUCGGCUGACGCCAGGUAUGAGCAGUUCCUGAGCCUGAUCGCUGGAUAUGGGCACGCAUGCAUGUAUAUAAUGGGUAUCAUGGUCAUGUUGCUUGGACGGGGGGAGAUGAUGAUGAUUGUGGCUGAAAUAAUCAUGUCUUGAGCAAUCAAGACAGCCGUGGUGGUGGGUACUAAGAGCAACGGAAGUAAAAGGUCCAGAACUGAUAAACAUAUAUGUUGGAGAAUCGGAGAAGAAUAUCAGGGACAUCUUUCAGAUGUUUCAGGCUUGAUCAGCAUGCCCAUGAGUAAUUUUCUUCGAUGAGCUUGAUUCCCUUGCUCCUGCACGAGGGUCGUCUGCAGCUUCUCGAGAUGUUAUGGAUAUAGUGGUUUCUCAGGUAUAAUUAACCUCAUAAACGAGGUGGUGACUGUGUCUCAGUUUUCCCUCUUAUUUUCAAUGUUUAAAUGUUAGAGUAAACUAAUUCAAUUUCCCCUUCUCUCUCUUUACUAGCACAAAUGCCUGACGGAGAUGCAUAUAUAUGUUUGGCAUUCUAUCAGUAACAUACACUUGUGCUAGCUUGCAGUACUACAUUUUGUGGUGCGUAUGUAUGGCUAUGCUUUUGAUUAUUUCCCCUGUACAUUGACUUGAUAAAGUAUAGAGCCUGAUGAGCAACGAUGCUGUAACAGAAGAAUUUUUAUCCUAAUGGGAAUUUUCAAUAAGAUAUACCAUCUCGAUGCUCAUAGUUUCUUCAGCAUAUAUAGUCUCUACUAUGUAUUCUCUGGGCAACCAUGUUAAUUGUGCAAGAGCCAUUAAAUAUAUAUUUAUACUUGCAUAUAAAUAAUUCCUUUUACUGUUGCUUGGUGAUUGUGUCUCUCGUAGCCAAUUCCUAGAAGACUUGAACGUAUGGUAACAUUAAAUGAAUAAUCCAAGUUCUUUUUCUAUUCUGGCUACAGUAGACUAUCCUGCCUUUUAGUAAUUAUAGAAUUACUAAGUUCAUGUUGACUAAGGACCAAUUCCGGAUGCUUGCCAAUUGUUAGAAUUUCAUCGCUCUUCAUUUUGUCUAGCAUUUGCUGUGUCCUCUAGCUUUUAUAUAGCUUUCUGGCUAUAAACUACAUGCACUUUGCAGUAAAUUAUUUCUUUAGAUUAAUCUAUCAAUGUUGUAUAUACAUUGUUGGCAUAAAUUGAUUCCCAGUCUUGUGCCUAACUUCCGGCAGAAAGACUGGUCCUAAAUCCGAAAUUCGUUGAUGGACUUAGAGCAAUCCGUUGCGACACAAUCUUGAAUGAAGUUAUUUUUUGUUCAAAUUAUGAUUAUAUAAAUUAUAAAUAGCUAAUAUGACCUAUUCAUGGUUGGGUAGGUUUCUAUCAGUCAUUAUUUGUCUUCUUUACCGUAAAAAAAUUCUCUUCUCUAUUAUGUUGAGGUAAAUGCAGCUGCUGGUCAUACUUUAUCAAUAUAGGCGGAUGAAGCAGAUUAUGAAGAAAAUGAACCUGAAGAUGGUUUCUUAGAAUGAGAAUCUGAUUAACAUUCUCUCCAAGAAUGAAGGCAAAUUGUUUGUAUGUCAUUAACCCUUUCAUGUGAAGAUUUUCAGAAUCAUAAAAGAUAAUAUUCAGGUACAUGUACGUCUGGUCGAACGCAAUCACAUUCCGAAAUAGCAACUCGCUGGAGUCGUUGAGCUCCAGCUGUGGGAUCUCCAACACGCCAUAGGCGAAGUUCAAGUCUAUGAAGCUCAUCACCAUCUCUAAAAUUCCAGUGACCCGUGUUCCAGCUAUUUUUUUAGGUACAGGCGGAUAGGCUUCAUGUUCAGGAAUUUGACACACGCGGUGGAGACUUAAUGGGGAGAACCCAUGACUAAUUACUUUUUCUUAGGGAACAUCGUGAUUAA